AGUGAACGCUGGCGGUAGGCCUAACACAUGCAAGUCGAACGGCAGCACAGUAAGAGCUUGCUCUUACGGGUGGCGAGUGGCGGACGGGUGAGGAAUACAUCGGAAUCUACUUUUUCGUGGGGGAUAACGUAGGGAGACUUACGCUAAUACCGCAUACGACCUACGGGUGAAAGCAGGGGAUCUUCGGACCUUGCGCGAUUGAAUGAGCCGAUGUCGGAUUAGCUAGUUGGCGGGGUAAAGGCCCACCAAGGCGACGAUCCGUAGCUGGUCUGAGAGGAUGAUCGGCCACACUGGAACUGAGACACGGUCCAGACUCCUACGGGAGGCAGCAGUGGGGAAUAUUGGGCAAUGGGGGCAAGCCUGAUCCAGCCAUACCGCGUGGGUGAAGAAGGCCUUCGGGUUGUAAAGCCCUUUUGUUGGGAAAGAAAAGCAGCAGGUUAAUACCCCGCUGUUCUGACGGUACCCAAAGAAUAAGCACCGGCUAACUUCGUG
This 492-nucleotide ribosomal RNA is filed under the name uncultured bacterium. RNAcentral's name for it is "partial 16S ribosomal RNA". It matches the Rfam family "Bacterial small subunit ribosomal RNA", at positions 29 to 507 of the family's 1533-position model. The record is from RNAcentral.